This 253-nucleotide ribosomal RNA is filed under the name uncultured bacterium. RNAcentral describes it as "partial 16S ribosomal RNA". It matches the Rfam family "Bacterial small subunit ribosomal RNA", at positions 524 to 776 of the family's 1533-position model. The record is from RNAcentral.
UACGGAGGGUGCGAGCGUUGUCCGGAUUUAUUGGGUUUAAAGGGUGCGUAGGUGGGUUAAUAAGUCAGUGGUGAAAUACAGCCGCUCAACGGUUGAGGUGCCAUUGAUACUGUUAAUCUUGAAAGAAUUGGAGGCUGCCGGAAUGGAUGGUGUAGCGGUGAAAUGCAUAGAUAUCAUCCAGAACACCGAUUGCGAAGGCAGGUGGCUACGAUUUAUUUGACACUGAGGCACGAAAGCAUGGGGAGCAAACAGG